Molecule: ribosomal RNA, 2925 nt
Filed under: Escherichia coli
Lineage: Bacteria; Pseudomonadati; Pseudomonadota; Gammaproteobacteria; Enterobacterales; Enterobacteriaceae
Description: 23S ribosomal RNA
Rfam family: Bacterial large subunit ribosomal RNA
Source: RNAcentral
GGGUUGUGAGGUUAAGCGACUAAGCGUACACGGUGGAUGCCCUGGCAGUCAGAGGCGAUGAAGGACGUGCUAAUCUGCGAUAAGCGUCGGUAAGGUGAUAUGAACCGUUAUAACCGGCGAUUUCCGAAUGGGGAAACCCAGUGUGAUUCGUCACACUAUCAUUAACUGAAUCCAUAGGUUAAUGAGGCGAACCGGGGGAACUGAAACAUCUAAGUACCCCGAGGAAAAGAAAUCAACCGAGAUUCCCCCAGUAGCGGCGAGCGAACGGGGAGCAGCCCAGAGCCUGAAUCAGUGUGUGUGUUAGUGGAAGCGUCUGGAAAGGCGCGCGAUACAGGGUGACAGCCCCGUACACAAAAAUGCACAUACUGUGAGCUCGAUGAGUAGGGCGGGACACGUGGUAUCCUGUCUGAAUAUGGGGGGACCAUCCUCCAAGGCUAAAUACUCCUGACUGACCGAUAGUGAACCAGUACCGUGAGGGAAAGGCGAAAAGAACCCCGGCGAGGGGAGUGAAAAAGAACCUGAAACCGUGUACGUACAAGCAGUGGGAGCCUCUUUAUGGGGUGACUGCGUACCUUUUGUAUAAUGGGUCAGCGACUUAUAUUCUGUAGCAAGGUUAACCGAAUAGGGGAGCCGAAGGGAAACCGAGUCUUAACUGGGCGUUAAGUUGCAGGGUAUAGACCCGAAACCCGGUGAUCUAGCCAUGGGCAGGUUGAAGGUUGGGUAACACUAACUGGAGGACCGAACCGACUAAUGUUGAAAAAUUAGCGGAUGACUUGUGGCUGGGGGUGAAAGGCCAAUCAAACCGGGAGAUAGCUGGUUCUCCCCGAAAGCUAUUUAGGUAGCGCCUCGUGAAUUCAUCUCCGGGGGUAGAGCACUGUUUCGGCAAGGGGGUCAUCCCGACUUACCAACCCGAUGCAAACUGCGAAUACCGGAGAAUGUUAUCACGGGAGACACACGGCGGGUGCUAACGUCCGUCGUGAAGAGGGAAACAACCCAGACCGCCAGCUAAGGUCCCAAAGUCAUGGUUAAGUGGGAAACGAUGUGGGAAGGCCCAGACAGCCAGGAUGUUGGCUUAGAAGCAGCCAUCAUUUAAAGAAAGCGUAAUAGCUCACUGGUCGAGUCGGCCUGCGCGGAAGAUGUAACGGGGCUAAACCAUGCACCGAAGCUGCGGCAGCGACACUAUGUGUUGUUGGGUAGGGGAGCGUUCUGUAAGCCUGCGAAGGUGUACUGUGAGGUAUGCUGGAGGUAUCAGAAGUGCGAAUGCUGACAUAAGUAACGAUAAAGCGGGUGAAAAGCCCGCUCGCCGGAAGACCAAGGGUUCCUGUCCAACGUUAAUCGGGGCAGGGUGAGUCGACCCCUAAGGCGAGGCCGAAAGGCGUAGUCGAUGGGAAACAGGUUAAUAUUCCUGUACUUGGUGUUACUGCGAAGGGGGGACGGAGAAGGCUAUGUUGGCCGGGCGACGGUUGUCCCGGUUUAAGCGUGUAGGCUGGUUUUCCAGGCAAAUCCGGAAAAUCAAGGCUGAGGCGUGAUGACGAGGCACUACGGUGCUGAAGCAACAAAUGCCCUGCUUCCAGGAAAAGCCUCUAAGCAUCAGGUAACAUCAAAUCGUACCCCAAACCGACACAGGUGGUCAGGUAGAGAAUACCAAGGCGCUUGAGAGAACUCGGGUGAAGGAACUAGGCAAAAUGGUGCCGUAACUUCGGGAGAAGGCACGCUGAUACGUAGGUGAAGUCCCUCGCGGAUGGAGCUGAAAUCAGUCGAAGAUACCAGCUGGCUGCAACUGUUUAUUAAAAACACAGCACUGUGCAAACACGAAAGUGGACGUAUACGGUGUGACGCCUGCCCGGUGCCGGAAGGUUAAUUGAUGGGGUUAGCGGUAACGCGAAGCUCUUGAUCGAAGCCCCGGUAAACGGCGGCCGUAACUAUAACGGUCCUAAGGUAGCGAAAUUCCUUGUCGGGUAAGUUCCGACCUGCACGAAUGGCGUAAUGAUGGCCAGGCUGUCUCCACCCGAGACUCAGUGAAAUUGAACUCGCUGUGAAGAUGCAGUGUACCCGCGGCAAGACGGAAAGACCCCGUGAACCUUUACUAUAGCUUGACACUGAACAUUGAGCCUUGAUGUGUAGGAUAGGUGGGAGGCUUUGAAGUGUGGACGCCAGUCUGCAUGGAGCCGACCUUGAAAUACCACCCUUUAAUGUUUGAUGUUCUAACGUUGGCCCCUGAUCGGGGUUGCGGACAGUGUCUGGUGGGUAGUUUGACUGGGGCGGUCUCCUCCUAAAGAGUAACGGAGGAGCACGAAGGUUGGCUAAUCCUGGUCGGACAUCAGGAGGUUAGUGCAAUGGCAUAAGCCAGCUUGACUGCGAGCGUGACGGCGCGAGCAGGUGCGAAAGCAGGUCAUAGUGAUCCGGUGGUUCUGAAUGGAAGGGCCAUCGCUCAACGGAUAAAAGGUACUCCGGGGAUAACAGGCUGAUACCGCCCAAGAGUUCAUAUCGACGGCGGUGUUUGGCACCUCGAUGUCGGCUCAUCACAUCCUGGGGCUGAAGUAGGUCCCAAGGGUAUGGCUGUUCGCCAUUUAAAGUGGUACGCGAGCUGGGUUUAGAACGUCGUGAGACAGUUCGGUCCCUAUCUGCCGUGGGCGCUGGAGAACUGAGGGGGGCUGCUCCUAGUACGAGAGGACCGGAGUGGACGCAUCACUGGUGUUCGGGUUGUCAUGCCAAUGGCACUGCCCGGUAGCUAAAUGCGGAAGAGAUAAGUGCUGAAAGCAUCUAAGCACGAAACUUGCCCCGAGAUGAGUUCUCCCUGACUCCUUGAGAGUCCUGAAGGAACGUUGAAGACGACGACGUUGAUAGGCCGGGUGUGUAAGCGCAGCGAUGCGUUGAGCUAACCGGUACUAAUGAACCGUGAGGCUUAACCUUACAACGCCGAAG